RNAcentral lists this ribosomal RNA (443 nucleotides) under uncultured bacterium. RNAcentral's name for it is "partial 16S ribosomal RNA". It matches the Rfam family "Bacterial small subunit ribosomal RNA", at positions 338 to 795 of the family's 1533-position model. The record is from RNAcentral.
CCUACGGGAGGCAGCAGUGGGGAAUAUUGGGCAAUGGGCGCAAGCCUGACCCAGCAACGCCGCGUGAAGGAAGAAGGCCCUCGGGUUGUAAACUUCUUUUAUCAGGGACGAAACAAAUGACGGUACCUGAUGAAUAAGCCACGGCUAACUACGUGCCAGCAGCCGCGGUAAUACGUAGGUGGCAAGCGUUCUCCGGAUGUACUGGGUGUAAAGGGCGUGUAGGCGGGAGAGCAAGUCAGACGUGAAAUGCCAGGGCUCAACCCUGGAACUGCGUUUGAAACUGUUCUGCUUGAGUGAUGGAGAGGCAGGCGGAAUUCCGGGUGUAGCGGUGAAAUGCGUAGAUAUACGGAGGAACACCAGUGGCGAAGGCGGCCUGCUGGACAGUAACUGACGUUGAGGCACGAAAGCGUGGGGAGCAAACAGGAUUAGAUACCCCUGUAGUC